Molecule: ribosomal RNA, 467 nt
Filed under: uncultured bacterium
Lineage: Bacteria
Description: partial 16S ribosomal RNA
Rfam family: Bacterial small subunit ribosomal RNA
Source: RNAcentral
GACGAACGCUGGCGGCGUGCUUAACACAUGCAAGUCGAACGGAAAGGCCCUGCUUUUGUGGGGUGCUCGAGUGGCGAACGGGUGAGUAACACGUGAGUAACCUGCCCUUGACUUUGGGGUAACUUAAGGAAACUGAGGCUCAUACCGGAUAGGAGCUCCUGCUGCAUGGUGGGGGUUGGAUAGUUUCGGCGGUUGGGGAUGGACUCGCGGCUUAUCAGCUUGUUGGUGGGGUAGUGGCUUACCAAGGCUGUGACGGCUAGCCGGCCUGAGAGGGUGAACGGCCACAUUGGGAGUGAGAUACGGCCCAGACUCACACGGGAGGGAGGAGGGGGGAAUAUUGAACAAAGGGUGGAAGAAUGAUGCGGCAACGCCGGGUGCGGGAGGAAGGCCUUCGGGUGGGAAACCGCUUUCGCCUGUGACGAAGCGUGAGUGACGGUAAUGGGUAAAGAAGCACCGGCUAACUAGGU